This 30-nucleotide small RNA is filed under the name Bombyx mori (domestic silkworm). RNAcentral's name for it is "ovarian small RNA-5216". The record is from RNAcentral. Lineage: Eukaryota; Metazoa; Arthropoda; Insecta; Lepidoptera; Bombycidae.
GAUGACGUCAGUGGCCGGGAUGCCACAUCC